CUAGGAAGCUUAACUUUUGUGGUGAAUGUUGUCUGGUUCAAGGCCUGGCCACCACAUCUCUUGGUGGUGAAUAUGUCCUCGGACCAGGCUUCAUUCCCCUCAAUUAAUGCUUCCAUACAUGCAUGAGUUCUUCAGCUAUAUAUAUAUUGCUUGAUUGAUCAUCAUCAAUUUCAAGAUAUGGAGGUGAUGUGUAGUGUUUUCUUUUUUCUUUUAUUUGAUUUUGGUAAUUUAUCUGGUUUUCUCUAAUCGGAUUCAAUGUUUUAGUAAAUUUCACAUAGAUCAAGGUUGUUGACUAACUAGUAGCAGAUUGGUGUAAUGAUGAUCCAUUUUGACUGUCUUGAGAUCACAUGGGUAGACACAUAAAUUUCUAUCAUUACUUCUUGUUAUAAGUAUGAAAUAUCCAAAUUACUAUUCAAUUAUUACUUAUGUUUUUCAACUUAGGUUAUCAUGGGGCUAUGAGAUUUUGUCAGUUCUCCUCUUUUUCUCCCUUUUCCAAUUAACCUUUUUGUGUUUUAUCAUCAUUGGAUACAUGGAUUUUCACAUGUUCAAAUGUUGUUUCAAAUGAAAUGGGUGUGUGUCUGCAACUCUCUUCUCGAGCAGUAGCUAGGGUUAGUCUCUCUCUCUCUCUCUCCAUAUAUACCAAUAUAUUAUUCUUUUUAUGUUAUCUUUUCAGCCUUCUCCCUUUUUUUUAAUUAGGUUUAGUGCAGUAAUGGCAGGCAUGUGAUGAUCAACUUUCUUCACUCUUGCAGAGAGGUUCUAAAAGAAACGAUAAAAGAAAUUUUGUCAAAAACUUAGCCUGCAGAACUUGAAAGAAUAAAACCCUUUUGAAGACCAAGGCAUGCAUUCUCUUUUUUUAUAUGUUAUUUCUUGAUGGGGGUAACUGGAUCUGCAGAGUUAUGUAGAUAGAUUACAGAUAUAUCGCUGCUCUAUUACCUUUACCAAUGCUUAAUUUCCAGUUCAUUAUAUAUUUAUUCUAAACUCAACAUCAUAGAAUAUAUCCAUUGACAUUUUAGUGGAAGACAAGCUAGCAGCUGCACUGAAGAUUUGAAGCUGAGUAUAGCAUGCAGUGGAUAUAUUCUCUAGUAUUUGAUUCCCAUGGCCACACUUUCUUUACUAAAAGAGAGGACUUGAACUACAAAUGGCAUGGUACACCUUUCAAAUCCCUACGAAGGCAGCAUGAAGAAGCUCUGUAGCAAAUCUUGUUUAAUUGUGUUUUGUUUCUUGUGAAAUAGACAAAUGAGAAAGCACUGGGAUCUAACUCUAGAAUAUAAUGAUGUCUACACAUUAUCGUGGAAGAUUUUGAUAUCUUUGAUCAUCAGUUACAACUAGAGUUAUUGAUUUGUUCUGUGCACUCUAGGGUGAAAACAGUUGCAUGGAAAAGGAAAGGUAGUCAUGGAAAUUCAAGCCAUGUCAUGCAACAUUUACUUUCUUUCA
Long non-coding RNA from Populus nigra (black poplar), 1434 nucleotides. RefSeq lists it as uncharacterized. The transcript has 2 exons. Lineage: Eukaryota; Viridiplantae; Streptophyta; Magnoliopsida; Malpighiales; Salicaceae. The record is from RefSeq and is a predicted model, not a curated record.